CCUACGGGGGGCAGCAGUGAGGAAUAUUGGUCAAUGGGCGAGAGCCUGAACCAGCCAAGUCGCGUGAGGGAGUACUGCCCUAUGGGUUGUAAACCUCUUUUGUCGGGGAGCAAAAGCCGGACGUGUCCGGCUGUGAGAGUACCCGAAGAAAAAGCAUCGGCUAACUCCGUGCCAGCAGCCGCGGUAAUACGGAGGAUGCGAGCGUUAUCCGGAUUUAUUGGGUUUAAAGGGUGCGAAGGCGGAUUUUUAAGUCAGCGGUAAAAUCGUGGGGCUCAACCCCAUCCAGCCGUUGAAACUGGGGAUCUAGAGUGUGCGAGAGGUAUGCGGAAUGCGUGGUGUAGCGGUGAAAUGCAUAGAUAUCACGCAGAACCCCGAUUGCGAAGGCAGCAUACCGGUGCACAACUGACGCUCAGGCACGAAAGCGUGGGUAUCGAACAGGAUUAGAUACCCGGGUAGUC
Molecule: ribosomal RNA, 458 nt
Filed under: uncultured bacterium
Lineage: Bacteria
Description: partial 16S ribosomal RNA
Rfam family: Bacterial small subunit ribosomal RNA
Source: RNAcentral